GUCCUGGUUUCACUCACUCAAUAGAGCAUGAGACUCUUAAUCUCAAGGUUGUGGGUUCAAGCCCCACGUUGGGCA
This 75-nucleotide transfer RNA is filed under the name Podarcis lilfordi (Lilford's wall lizard). Its description in RNAcentral is "tRNA.Lys". It matches the Rfam family "tRNA". From Rfam's summary of the family: Transfer RNA (tRNA) molecules are approximately 80 nucleotides in length. The record is from RNAcentral. Lineage: Eukaryota; Metazoa; Chordata; Lepidosauria; Squamata; Lacertidae.